RNAcentral lists this transfer RNA (94 nucleotides) under Colletotrichum chlorophyti. It matches the Rfam family "tRNA". From Rfam's summary of the family: Transfer RNA (tRNA) molecules are approximately 80 nucleotides in length. The record is from Rfam by way of RNAcentral. Lineage: Eukaryota; Fungi; Ascomycota; Sordariomycetes; Glomerellales; Glomerellaceae.
GGCCUGCUGGCGCAAUGGUAGCGUUUCAGACUCCUACGGCCUUAAUGGCAAGGACCUGAUCUGAAGGUUCUGGGUUCGAGUCCCAGGUCGGUCA